CAGGCUUAACACAUGCAAGUCGAGGGGCAGCAUGGUCUUAGCUUGCUAAGGCCGAUGGCGACCGGCGCACGGGUGAGUAACACGUAUCCAACCUGCCGUCUACUCUUGGACAGCCUUCUGAAAGGAAGAUUAAUACAAGAUGGCAUCAUGAGUCCGCAUGUUCACAUGAUUAAAGGUAUUCCGGUAGACGAUGGGGAUGCGUUCCAUUAGAUAGUAGGCGGGGUAACGGCCCACCUAGUCUUCGAUGGAUAGGGGUUCUGAGAGGAAGGUCCCCCACAUUGGAACUGAGACACGGUCCAAACUCCUACGGGAGGCAGCAGUGAGGAAUAUUGGUCAAUGGGCGAGAGCCUGAACCAGCCAAGUAGCGUGAAGGAUGACUGCCCUAUGGGUUGUAAACUUCUUUUAUAAAGGAAUAAAGUCGGGUAUGGAUACCCGUUUGCAUGUACUUUAUGAAUAAGGAUCGGCUAACUCCGUGCCAGCAGCCGCGGUAAUACGGAGGAUCCGAGCGUUAUCCGGAUUUAUUGGGUUUAAAGGGAGCGUAGAUGGAUGUUUAAGUCAGUUGUGAAAGUUUGCGGCUCAACCGUAAAAUUGCAGUUGAUACUGGAUAUCUUGAGUGCAGUUGAGGCAGGCGGAAUUCGUGGUGUAGCGGUGAAAUGCUUAGAUAUCACGAAGAACUCCGAUUGCGAAGGCAGCCUGCUAAGCUGCAACUGACAUUGAGGCUCGAAAGUGUGGGUAUCAAACAGGAUUAGAUACCCUGGUAGUCCACACGGUAAACGAUGAAUACUCGCUGUUUGCGAUAUACGGCAAGCGGCCAAGCGAAAGCGUUAAGUAUUCCACCUGGGGAGUACGCCGGCAACGGUGAAACUCAAAGGAAUUGACGGGGGCCCGCACAAGCGGAGGAACAUGUGGUUUAAUUCGAUGAUACGCGAGGAACCUUACCCGGGCUUAAAUUGCAGAUGAAUUACGGUGAAAGCCGUAAGCCGCAAGGCAUCUGUGAAGGUGCUGCAUGGUUGUCGUCAGCUCGUGCCGUGAGGUGUCGGCUUAAGUGCCAUAACGAGCGCAACCCUUGUUGUCAGUUACUAACAGGUUCCGCUGAGGACUCUGACAAGACUGCCAUCGUAAGAUGUGAGGAAGGUGGGGAUGACGUCAAAUCAGCACGGCCCUUACGUCCGGGGCUACACACGUGUUACAAUGGGGGGUACAGAGGGCCGCUACCACGCGAGUGGAUGCCAAUCCCCAAAACCUCUCUCAGUUCGGACUGGAGUCUGCAACCCGACUCCACGAAGCUGGAUUCGCUAGUAAUCGCGCAUCAGCCACGGCGCGGUGAAUACGUUCCCGGGCCUUGUACACACCGCCCGUCAAGCCAUGGGAGCCGGGGGUACCUGAAGUGCGUAACCGCGAGGAGCGCCCUAGGGUAAAACUGGUGACUGGGGCUAA
RNAcentral lists this ribosomal RNA (1437 nucleotides) under uncultured organism. RNAcentral's name for it is "16S ribosomal RNA". It matches the Rfam family "Bacterial small subunit ribosomal RNA". The record is from RNAcentral.